Molecule: transfer RNA, 73 nt
Filed under: Felis catus (domestic cat)
Lineage: Eukaryota; Metazoa; Chordata; Mammalia; Carnivora; Felidae
Also listed under: 2 other names
Rfam family: tRNA
About the family: Transfer RNA (tRNA) molecules are approximately 80 nucleotides in length. Their secondary structure includes four short double-helical elements and three loops (D, anti-codon, and T loops).
Source: Rfam by way of RNAcentral
GCCUGCCUGGCUUAGUUGGUAAAGCAUGUGACUCUCAGUCUCAGGGUCACGAGUUCAAACCUCACGUUGGGUG